AAAUAAACCAUCACAAAUAACUAAAAUAUCAACCAAAAAAUGAAAACAAAAGAUCAGGACUAAGAGAACUAAAUGAAUACUAAAUUAAAGGCAAAAGGACAAAAACAGAC
Molecule: long non-coding RNA, 110 nt
Organism: Sinocyclocheilus grahami
Lineage: Eukaryota; Metazoa; Chordata; Actinopteri; Cypriniformes; Cyprinidae
Exons: 3
Source: RefSeq, a predicted model, not a curated record